AAUGACACUCUGACCAAUGAUUCUGUAUGCUUGGAACUGUGAUCACUAGAGUUGCAUUCUGGGUUACUGCCUGCACUGUCUGAAUGGUAAUAGAUGAUGGGGACUUCAGUUGGCAACGAACUAUCUUCAAUAAUAUCCUCGACCUUUUCGUCCUGGCCUUCUGUUAGUAUAUCUGUGUGAUCACUGAUUGUGUCCUGUUCUUUGGGUAAGCUUUUCUCUAUAUUGGAUCCAUCAAUUUCCUCUUCCAUGGAGUUUGAAAGCAAAUCUCUAAUAACUUUAUAUCCUCUCCGCCUCACAAUGUGCGCAAGAUCAGUUCUUCCAUGAUCAGAAAGCUCCUUCAUUGAGGGAACAUGACCCUCUGGAAGUCCAACAGCUGAUAUAAAUUCUCGGAUAUCAUUGCAAAGCUCUAUAUUGCUCUUUACCUUUCUCCCGCCCCUGGAUUUCUUUGCCGAACAGACACAAAAUCUGAAAUUUUUU
Molecule: unclassified non-coding RNA, 477 nt
Filed under: Hevea brasiliensis (rubber tree)
Lineage: Eukaryota; Viridiplantae; Streptophyta; Magnoliopsida; Malpighiales; Euphorbiaceae
Source: RNAcentral